AAAACAUCGCCUUUAGCCUAACAAGUAUUAAAGGUCCCGCCUGCCCAGUGAACCCCCUUAAACGGCCGCGGUACUCUAACCGUGCAAAGGUAGCGUAAUCACUUGCCCCCCAAAUAGGGGCUAGUAUGAACGGCUAAAUGAGGGCCUAACUGUCUCCUGUGAUAAUCCAAUGAACCUGCUCUCUUAGUACAAAAGCUAAGAUGUACACACAAGACAAGAAGACCCUGUGGAGCUUUUAAACACUACACUAACUUCAACCCAUAGUGCUAACUUUAAGUUGGGGCGACUGCGGAGAAAAACAAAACCUCCGUGACACAGGAUUCAACCCCACCCAAGGCCGACAGGCCUAAUCUACUAACAACCCAUUGACCCAGCAAUGCUGACCACCGAACCAAGUUACCCCAGGGAUAACAGCGCAAUCCCCUUCAAGAGUCCUUAUCGCCAGGGGGGUUUACGACCUCGAUGUUGGAUCAGGACACCCCAGCGGUGUAGCCGCUGCUAACGGUUCGUUUGUUCAACGAUUAAUGUCCUACGUGAU
RNAcentral lists this ribosomal RNA (538 nucleotides) under Phyllodactylus thompsoni. RNAcentral's name for it is "partial 16S ribosomal RNA". It matches the Rfam family "Bacterial large subunit ribosomal RNA", at positions 1810 to 2604 of the family's 2925-position model. The record is from RNAcentral. Lineage: Eukaryota; Metazoa; Chordata; Lepidosauria; Squamata; Phyllodactylidae.